AGGGGUAUAGCUCAGUGGAAGAGCACGUGUUUAGCACGCAUGAGGUCCUGGGUUCAGUCCCCAGUACCUCCA
This 72-nucleotide transfer RNA is filed under the name Camelus bactrianus (Bactrian camel). It matches the Rfam family "tRNA". From Rfam's summary of the family: Transfer RNA (tRNA) molecules are approximately 80 nucleotides in length. Their secondary structure includes four short double-helical elements and three loops (D, anti-codon, and T loops). The record is from Rfam by way of RNAcentral. Lineage: Eukaryota; Metazoa; Chordata; Mammalia; Artiodactyla; Camelidae. RNAcentral also lists the same sequence under 2 other names.